AUGCAACUCCUGCAAAGAGAGGGGAGGGGAGAUAAACAGCGAAGGAGUCCCGUGCCCACACUAAAGAUGGCAACCUGCUGCGCUCACUCUGGGUGGGGGAGCGGGUUCCAGUCGCCAGGCCUCGCUGGGCGAGGCGCAGACGGAAGGGGCGUCUCUCGAGCUGGUUGUCAUUUCACUCGGCUCGGUCCUGAGGAGAAGGACUCAGCCGCGGCUGCGGGACCCGGACACCGGGAGGCGGUGGCGGCGGCGGCGGCGGCGGCAUCGGCGACAGCAGAGGAGGAAGAGGAGGAAGAAGGAGAGCAAAAGAAGAGCCAGGCGGAGUCCGCAACAACGACAGCGGGGACUGCGGGACCGGGGCAAAGUGACGGCGGCGGCGGCGACGACGGCCCAGCAACCGUGAGGAGAAACAAAAGCCUUCUAAAUUAUAGAUUUUUUUUUUUAAUCUGAGGGAAAGAAGAGAGAGCACAAAGGGGGGAGGCCCUUUUCUUUUAGAAUAACUACACUAGUGGGUUUUCCCUUUUUUUCCUCUCCCUGCCCCCCCCCCCCCCCCCAGCCCCCCCACCCCCCCCUGCGGAGAAUCGAACUGAGAGAACUGAACAAACCGCCCCUGGGUCCCAUGAGGGAAAAAAACCCCGGAGCCGCAGAGAGGGGAAGAGGCCGAAACUGCAGGACCUUCCAGGUCGCCCCGUUGGUCCCCGCACCCCCGGGCCGCCAGCUCCCUGUCGUCGAGUCUCGCUAAUCCUUGCUGAUCGCGAUUCCCCCCAAGAGGGAGAAACGGGUGUUUCCAACCCCUUUCAUGGGGGAGAGGAGGCCGGGGGGGAGCCCAGGAACAGCGACCGCAGCAAGAUCUGCACCCAGAGCCUCAGGAACAGCCCCCGAGGCCAAAACUGCGCCCCGUGAAAGAGCAGAAACAGGACCGGGAACAGCAGAGACCUCCCUGCGAUCAUCUUUCCAUUAGUCAAUGCUGAUUUCCUCUCCCGCAACCAGGAAUUCACCUCCCGCCCCAGAUAACCUAAUAUAAUCUAUAUAUAUAAAUAUAUAAUAUAUAAUGUUCUUAAAUUAUUCCUGAUUUUUUUUAACCAAGCUGCCAAGAAAAAAAACGUAUUCUCCUCUUAGCCCUAUUCUAAUUUUUAUGUGAGUGAAUCUAAACUGCUGAGGAAGACCAUAUGUGAUUGUUAAAUUAUAUAUAUAUAUAUAUUUUUACUCCGCGCAAGGCUUAUUCUUCUACAUCCAUAGAUGCUUGAGAAGCUGUGUUUUUGUCAUUCAUGUACAUUUUCCUUUGGAAAAAGAAAGCGCCUAUUUUACUAACCAAAGACUUGAGUUUUGCCCUCUUCGUUUUUAUUCCCUCCUAGAAACAAGCCCCGUCGGAUUCAUGUCCAUGUGUUAAGAGACUUUUUUUUUUUUUUUUUUUUUAGUUUUUUUUUUCUUUCAGAGACCAGAAUUCCAA
This 1447-nucleotide long non-coding RNA is filed under the name Felis catus (domestic cat). RNAcentral describes it as "lncRNA (ENSFCAG00000052744.1)". The record is from RNAcentral. Lineage: Eukaryota; Metazoa; Chordata; Mammalia; Carnivora; Felidae.